GUAAUCCAGGUCAGUUUCUAUCUAUGAAGUGCCCCCUCCUAGUACGAAAGGACCGGAGAGGGGAGGCCUAUGCCCCCGGCACGCCUCACCCUUACUUGAUGAAAACAACUAAAACAAGCGAGAGAGCACUCUCUCAAGGCCCAAGAUAAGGGCAU
This 155-nucleotide ribosomal RNA is filed under the name Aphanius apodus. RNAcentral's name for it is "partial 16S ribosomal RNA". The record is from RNAcentral. Lineage: Eukaryota; Metazoa; Chordata; Actinopteri; Cyprinodontiformes; Aphaniidae.